RNAcentral lists this ribosomal RNA (587 nucleotides) under uncultured bacterium. RNAcentral's name for it is "partial 16S ribosomal RNA". It matches the Rfam family "Bacterial small subunit ribosomal RNA", at positions 355 to 1375 of the family's 1533-position model. The record is from RNAcentral.
UGGGGAAUUUUGGACAAUGGGCGAAAGCCUGAUCCAGCAAUGCCGCGUGUGUGAAGAAGGCCUUCGGGUUGUAAAGCACUUUUGUCCGGAAAGAAAUCCUUGGCUCUAAUACAGUCGGGGGAUGACGGUACCGGAAGAAUAAGCACCGGCUAACUACGUGCCAGCAGCCGCGGUAAUACGUAGGGUGCAAGCGUUAAUCGGAAUUACUGGGCGUAAAGCGUGCGCAGGCGGUUUGCUAAGACCGAUGUGAAAUCCCCGGGCUCAACCUGGGAACUGCAUUGGUGACUGGCAGGCUAGAGUAUGGCAGAGGGGGGUAGAAUUCCACGUGUAGCAGUGAAAUGCGUAGAGAUGUGGAGGAAUACCGAUGGCGAAGGCAGCCCCCUGGGCCAAAUACUAGACGCUCAUGCACGAAAGCGUGGGGAGCAAACAGGAUUAGAUACCCUGGUAGUCCACGCCCUAAACGAUGUCAACUAGUUGUUGGGGAUUCAUUUCCUUAGUAACGUAGCUAACGCGUGAAGUUGACCGCCUGGGGAGUACGGUCGCAAGAUUAAAACUCAAAGGAAUUGACGGGGUCAUAGCUGUUUCCU